ACUGCCUCAGAUGUACGGCAUCACAGAGCUCUACAGCCCUCUACUUAGAUUUUGGAUGCUUUCAUCCUGCAAAUUAAUGUCUGCUUUUAAAGCUAACAACGCUUCUCCAGAGAGAGGGGCAGAGGAUGCUUCAUUAUUUCACAGGUGCGUCCAGCCUAUCUAUUAGGGAUUGGGGACAGCAGCCCCCUGCAGACGGGGUUCUAGGGUAGAGCGUGACCGGUUCGGCCGCACUGGGCACCAUGCUGCAGGGGGCGCCAUAACAACGUUGGAAAACAGAGCUAGAGAGGUGGGAGGCAUGUCAAAUUUUAACUGUCUCACAGGGUGCUGCUGAAAUCUGAGAGCCCAAAGUGUGUCACUGGCCCUCCAGGGGUGUCCUUGGACCCCAGCUCCCAUCAGCCCUAUCCAAUGUGGCUAAUGGUCAAGGAUGCUGGGAGCUGUGAUCCCACUUCAACUGUAGGGCCAGCCAUUCCCUAUUCCUGCUAUCAAAAUAUAUAUUCUGCACAGCCCUUUCUGCACCAGAGUGGCACUAUUUAUUUAUUUAGGAGAGGACUGCACCACGUGGAGGACUGUACCCUGUGUGUUCCCCCUCCAUGUUUGAAUCAGUUGAUGAAAUGUCUUCUAUUUGGGGCCUUAGUAUCUUUUCUUCUUCUAGUGCAAGACUUGGUGAUGGUGUGGGAGGGGCCUCGAGGGUCCCAAAAAUGUGGUAAUGUGGACUCCUGAGUGUGACUGGUAAAGGGAACUUAUAGCAGCCUAUCACUUUAAGAAACUGCUGAGAAAGUCUUUCCUUUAGAAGAAGCCCCCCGCCCCCCGAAGAGAAGCUAAAACUCUUAUCACAAGAACACAAGUACUGUAGCUAUACAUGCAGGUUCACACACACACACAAUACAAAGCACAAUAGCUUCUGCAACAAAAUAUAUUUAUGUGAAGGCCAUGCAAGCACAGUGAAUUAACGCUAUGUCAACAAAUAUGCUUAUUCUAGAAGCGCAGGCACACUAAAAUGAAAUGUAACAAAAUAGGUUCUGGCUAACGACAGCUUGUAUGCUUCUUUGAAUGAGGUAAUGAGAAUGCAUAUGUUUGGAGGAAAUUGUAAUGCUUUGUGUAAGAAACCUAUAAGUAACCCCCCCCCCGGCGUUUGGGAGAGGUUCCAGCCUUUGUGGAGCAAUCCGGCUUCAACACUUUACAGUGGUACCUCGUGUUAUGGACAGGAUCCGUUCUGGAGGCCCGUCCGUAACGUGAAAUGCCUGCAACUCGAAGCGCUGCAUCUGCGCAGGCACACGAUGUGAUUUGGUACUUCUGUGCAUGCGCGAGCGGUGAAACCCAGAAGUAACCUGUUCUGGUACUUCCGGGUUGCCGUGGGACACAGCGUGAAAAGACGCAACAUGAAGUGGACGCAACACGAGGUAUGACUGUAUUGCAGUAAAUAAACUUUCUGGAUUCUUCCUUCAACCCGAAUCACGAGUAGUUAAUGGUACAAGUGAGACAGCAGAUUUGCCCCCCUCUCUCCAUGUUUGAAUCAGUUAAUGAAAUGUCUUCUGUUUGGGGGUUUACUAUUUUUCCUUCUUCUAUUGCAAAACUUGGUGAUGGCCCUUAGCAAAGCAAUAAAGACUAUGAGAUUUUUAAUGAAAUGAUUUAUACACUUUUGGGGGCACGGCUCAGUCUUCAAGAGGCGAUUGCACAUACGAGAAAGCAAGUGAAUUUCCGGAAUGGGGCACGGCUUCUGCUUUCAGGCUGUCCCGUAGAAACUUUCCUAUCUGCUUGUCCCUGAGAAGUGUAAGGCAGAGGGAACAGAUAAGGUGAAAUGACGUUGUAUUCACUAAAUCAGUUUUCCAACAGUGUUUCCUGUUAUCUUGGUUGUGGUCCCCCGACAGUUGGUGCAAUCGCCUAUGGGACGCACCUCAUUGUUUUCUGGGAAAUGGAGCUUCUUGUCUUUGUCAUCCCUUAAAUGUAAAAGAGUUUGAAACAUGAAAAGAAGAAAAGGAGCCAGCAAAGCAGAUGUUCUUCUCUAUUAGACGCUUUGAUAGGCAUCCUAAGUCGUUUGAUUUCCCUACCGUAUUAAGGAUAAUUUCCUAUUUCACAGCAUAAUGCAGAAGACAGGCUGUAGUGGAAGCUGACAGGCGGGGUUCCACUGCCAGAAACAUUUCUUCCUCCUAGCGGGAGCUUUUGCAUCGAGCGCAUGGAUUAAACAGCUUAGGAGCAACAGAAAAUGACAAGUUUGAUAAAGCCCAAACCGGCUUAGCAUCUCAAGGUUGGGGAUGGGAGGUCUUAGGAGCUCAUCUCUGUGUUUUAUUCCAGUGCAGAAAUAUGCAGAACACGCAACACAGUCCAUGGGCAAAAUAGAUUUUUGCAGACUCUCGCUUUACAUGGUUAAUCUGCAAAACAGUAUCCAUAAAAAGAAUUGCAGCCAGGGAGUUUGUGUGUGAGAGAGAGGUAUGAAUGGCCUAAUGAUGAUGGCUCCUGCCCUGUUACACCCUGCGAAGGCGCAAUCAGACACUCCUUAGUUGACAAUAUGAAGAGCCCUGCACAUUGUUGACACCAAUUCACACAACAAGUGCCAAUGACCCAGGAGUGUGGUGGUUUGGAAAACAGAACAUAAUGCUUGGUUUCCUAAAUGGGAGACUGUUUCAUUGAUCAUCUUCUUUGUGAGGAGCAAGAAUUGGAGUUCCAUGGCAUGUUCUUAAUACUUCUUUAUUUACAGCCUGGAGAAGUGACAGUUCCCAAAGCAAUAGGAUGGAACCUGCUCUCCAUAAAACCUCAAUCCUGCUUCUUGUAGGCUGCAUGCAAAACUGUGCAGUUUUCCUUUCCCUUCUUCGUCUUUUGCAUGUGCAUGCACACACAGUGCAGAGAAGGGACCAUGAUUUCUCUCUCUCUCUCUCUCUCUCUCUCUCCCUCCCUCUCUCUCUCUCACACACACACUGAUUAUGCGUGGAAUAUCCAUGCAAAAGGUAAAAAAAAGGUAAAGGACCCCUGGAUGGUUAUGUCCAGUCAAAGACAACUAUGGGAUUGUGCUGCUCAUCUAGCUUUCAGGCUGAGGGAGCCAGCGUUUGUUCACAGACAGCUUUCCAGGUCAUGUGGCCAGCUUGACUAAACCGCUUCUGGUGCAACAGAAUAUCGUGACGGAAACCAGAGCGCAAUGAAAGACCAUUUACCUUCCUGUCACAGCGGUACCUAUUUAUGUACUUGCACUGGCGUGCUUUUGAACUGCUAGGUUGGCAGGAACUGGGUCAGAGCAACGGGAGCUCACCCCGUGGCAGGGAUUCAAAUUGCCAACCUUCCGAUCAGCAAGCCCAAGAGGUUCAUUGGUUUAGACCACAGUGCCAUCUGAGUUCAUGCAACACCACUAGUGCUAAUUAAACAAUCAUACAUAAGAAGAGCCCUCCUGGAUCAAGCCAAUGGCUCAUCUUGUCCAGCAUCUUGUCCUCAUAGUGGCCAACCAGAUGCCUAUUAUGGGAUCCCCCAAAGCAGGACCUGAGCACAACAGCACCCUACCCACUUAUAGUUCCCACCAAUAGUAGAGGUAGAACAUGGGCACCAUUGCUAGCAUCCAUUGAUAGCCUUAUGCUCCAUGCAUUUUUCCAUUCCUCUUUUAGAGUCAUCCAAGUUAGAGGCCAUCACUACCUCUUGUGAGAGUGCCUUCCAUAAUUUAACUUGGCACUUUGUGAUUAAGUCUUUUCUUUAAUCUGCCCUUAAUCUUCCAACAUUCAGCUCUAUUGGAAGCCCAUAAAGUCUCUGGGGCAAAAACGACAAUAUUUUGCUUGUUUGGGAGAUGUAGCAAGAGUAACACAGUAAUUUGAUAACAUGUUCCAGACUUAAUUAUUCCCUGCACAGAUGAACAACUAUUCCCCAUGCACAAAAAAUGUCGAGCGUUUCUUUUGGGCUUAGGCUGAAUUGCAUAAAAUGUGAAGGUGGUGGCGAGCUGGCGAGCUGGCAAGCUUUUGCUUAUUUAUCCAUCCUAUUUUCAAGUUCAGUUGUCUCAUGUACUUGCUCUCCACAUGUGAACCCACAUUUUUAAAUUGCAGAAUAAUUUGAAUGUUAAUAGCAAUAAUUAAUUCAGUCUUUUCUUAUUUGCAGUUAGACAUCAGACUUAUUAUUUUCCCACCUAAACUACUGCAUUAUUAACUUUCUUUUUGCGUUUUUAAUUCAGCUGAACUGUUCAGAUGUCAGGAAUGUGAGAUAGGUGUGGGGAGAUGGUGUGUUUAUUAAUAUUCAAACACACUUUGCAGUUUAUUCUUAUUUUAAAACAGAAACAGAAAAGAAGAAGACCUGCCUGUGGUUUAUUUUUCCUCCUUUCUGUGACUCCUCCAAGCUGUGAUGACCAAACAUUUCUUUCAGGGAAGCAGCAGGUCCAUGUUAUUAGCAAGGACCAAUUAAAUGCUACUGUAUCCAUAAACUAAUCAGCAACCUGUUGGACAGAAAUUAAUUAAAACGCACAUGUAAACAUAUGACUGGAAAAAGCACAGGCGCAUAGAAGUCAUUCUGUAUGCAAACGCAAUCAAGCAAUGGCAGCCAAUAUGAUUUGCCUAAUGACCAACUGGGGAUUCUUUGAAUUGAUAAAGUUCAAGAUGCACCAGUCCUAUAUUACAUGCCUGUCAGGGACUGUGCAGAGGAGGAAUGGUGGAGACCGCUGUGACGUUAACAUAUGAGAGAGUGCUGGAGGUGAAAUAGUUAAACAGGUUGCCCAGUCAGGACCCAGGGGGGUGGAGUCAGAGGGACUAUAAAACUAGCUUUGGGAGGAGUUCGUUGGGAGUUGGGUGGUUGGUUGGAGUGGGAGUGAAUUGGGAUAGAGUUGUGGGUAGGUUGAGUUAGUGUAACAAAAUAGGCUGAGUCAGGAACAGUUAGAGGCUAGAAAGACAAGUAAAUAUUGGAGAGGUGGUUUAGUGAGUGAGAGCAGGUAGCGAAAGUUAUAGGACUGGAUAGGCACCCCAUGAAUGUAAUUGACCGAUACUGUUUAUGAAACCACACGCUUGUUAAACUGCAAUAAAUAAACAAAAGUUUAUAUUUCAAUUUAACCCUGACUUGACUCAGUAUUGUCCCAGGUAGGGCUUGGGUGGUGGCAGCGAGAAAUAAAGUGGUGGCGCAGGGAUCAAUAGACAGUGAAACGUCCGGGGGACCCUGUGUGAUCACCACAACUGCCCCCCCAGCCUGACCCUUCCAGAGAAGAAGAAGACAGUUCAGAAUUACAACAGGGGUUUGAGGGAGGUUACAGCUCAGAGGCAGAUGAGGGGCAAAGCUGGGAAAUAAUGGGAGAGGAGGAGGAAGAAGAAGAAGCACCGGGGGGAGACAGCUGAUGGACUCAGUGUUUUUAGAAAGCAUGCAUGACCCCCCCCCUCCCAGAACCCGGUGCACCUUGAAAGUAGGAGAGCAAAGAGUUCAAAGGCAGAAGGUACAGCUCAACACCUGUAGCGAUGUUGCAUAAUGGGAGAGACGGAUGGGGUGGAGAUUUACUCGGGACAAUGCCAUUAUUCCAAGAGGCUGCAUUUCCAAGCCUCUCUCUGAAUAUUGAAUAAAAAGCCUUGGUAAGAACUUUCCUUGUCUUAUCCAUUCCUGGCAACCUACUGGGGGGGAGGGGGUUGGAUCCUCUGACACCUGACACAGCCCCAUUUGGUUCAAAGGGAUUAUUGUCAGUUAAGUGAAUAUAGGUGUGACAUUAACAUAGGAGAAAGUGCUGGAGGUGAAAUAGUUAAACAGGUUGCCCAAUCAGGACCCAGGGGGGUGGAGUCAGUGGGACUAUAAAACCAGCUCUGGGAGGGGCAAAAGGGGGAGUUCGGGGAGGAGUUCGUUGGGAGUUGGGUGGUUGGUUGGAGUGGGAGUGAAUUGGGCUAGAGUUGUGGGUAGGUUGAGUUAGUGUAACGAAAUAGGCUGAGUCCGGAACAGUUAGGGGCUGGGAAGACAAGUAAAUAUCUGAGAGUUGGUUUAGUGAGUGAGAGCAGGUAGCGCAAGUUGUAGGUCUGGAUAGGCUCCCCAUGAAUGUAAUUGACUGAUAUUGUUUAUGAAACCACACACUUGUUAAAUAAACUGCAAUAUGUUUCAAUUUAACUCUGACUGGACUCAGUAUUGUCCCAGGAAGGGCCUGGUGGUGGCAGCGAGAAAUAAAGUGGUGGCACAGGGAUCAAUAGGCGGUGAAACAUCGUGGGACCCUGUGUGAUCACCACAAUAGGAUUGCAGCCUUGUGUGUGUGUCAAGGCGACAUGGGAAGCUGCUACCCCAUUACUGCUGUGCCACCACCCUAAAGGCUCCUUUCCCUGGGUUGUGUGGCUAUGUCUGUGAAGUGGCCAUGGCAGGUUCCAGUGGGAUCUCACCGGAAUCUAGCCACCACUGCUUCCUCUGCCUAUUUGCAAGCAGCAGAGGCAGCAAGGUGGGCAGGGCACCCGUGAGAGUGCCACCUUUGUGGUUCCACAGUACAAGGCAGCUGCCUUAGCCUGCCUCAUGGGUUGGCCGGCUCUGGUGUGUGAGAUAAAUUAUACAUAUAAUUUAGACCCCCCCCCAUCUUUCAGCCUAUGAAACUAAUGCAACACAGAACAAAAUAACUCAUGGAAUCAUAGGGUUGGAAGGUACCCCCCAAAAGUUGGAAAACCGGAACACCUACGUCUGGUUUUGCAGCGUUCAGGUUCCAAGCUGUUCGUGAACUAAGCUGUUUGAAAACUGAGGUACCACUGUACCUUGCUGCUGGCUAUCAAUAAAUGCUACCACAUAGAGAUAAUAGCAGACCUUUCAAGCGUUCUGAGAGGAAGACUCCAAGCUUUUAAAACCACCCUAAAUUCUUUUCACGCCACCUCACUCCAUAUGUACCGAGGGGAGGUUGACUCACAUGUUUUCUCAUGCCCGCAACUUGCCCUCUUUGUUUGUAUUUUAUUUUAUUUUUGUUAUGUGUAUGUGAGGAGGGGAACAUGGGAAAGUACAGAAGAACAAAAGAAAAAGAAUGGGAAAAGAAAGAACAAUGACAAAUUGUGCCAGUGGAAAAGCAGUGUUAGAUUCCAAGGUUAUAAUCUUGGCUGCCCAGCUCUGUGAAAUAUGAAAUUAUUGUUGGCACUGAAGUCUUCUCUAUUGAUUUUUGCUGAGCUCUUUAAUAGAUGCCAGUUGCUAGGAUCUCCGAAAUCCUUUUGUAUAGAGCCCCAAAGUAGCCUUAUGGUUUCCAAGGCUCUUUUACACAUUUCCUGGGACUUGAUCCAAUAUCCAGGUUAUUAAAUUAAACCUUUACAGUUUAAAGUUUACACAUUUGUCCCCUUUAAAAUUUAUCAAUGCAGGCUGGAUUCCAGAUGACAGUGGGUUUGUUGUUGUUUACAAAACAACAGUAGGUGUAUUCACACACAAUGUGUCACCUUUGCCAGCCAUUAAAGGAGUCAUCUGGCAGCUUCUCAGAAACUAACGCUUGAACAAAAACUGAAUUUGUGAUGCCGGUGUUGUGUCCUGAGACCAUUAGGUUUAUUUAGUGAGAAAUUGACAAGGAGAGAGAAAAUUCAGACUGCAACAUUAUUGCCUGGCAAAGGGCUGCCUGCCAUUCAGAGGUUAUUGAUUCCGGUAGAUGUUUAGAUUGUAAAGUGUGAGGAAGUAGAUUUCUAAAGGUUUGGCAUUGAAAUGUCACGGGCGCCCAUUUGAAAUGCUUGUGGACUGAGUGCAUUACGUGCGUCGAAAGGCAAAGCUGCAAAUUAAGGACUUCAUGGGGUUGGGGCGAGAGACGACCUUUGCAUUGUUAAGUUAGCUCCCCCCCCCCAAAGGAAGAUGCCCCCUUUCCAAGGUUUGUCAAGGUUUGAGGGUGGCUACAUUUCAGUAAAAAUGGUGGGGGAGAGGGGGGCAAUCAGGGCCGGAUUUAGAUGAAGAGAGGCCCUAGGCUACACUACUUGUGAGACUCUUCCCCAUCCCACACCCUCACAGCUAGAAGAAAAUGGAAGAGUGUUAUAAACAAAAUUGAGUUAUAAACAAAAUUGAGUGAUGCCUGGGCAGGCUGGGUCGUCCUCUUAUAUACCUGCUGGGAUUGACAAGGCAUCUGACUCUCACCUGAAUCUCAUAGCUCUCCUGUAGCUGCUUCUGAUUAGUUAUCAUUUAACUCUUGGGGGAAAUAAUUAGCAUCACACCUCACGUGCAGGGAAGUUGCCAAACCAAUUAACCAGCUAGAAGGAUUACUGUUUAUAGCACCAGUUUUCCUAUAACUUGAUAUUGCUGGAUAGUUUUGAUGAACUGCAAAAGCAUUUUUAGUUUGCUUUCUGUUGCCACCCUGGAACUUUUCUUUAUUAGUGCCACUUUGUUUUGUACGAUUCCUUGAAAAUGAAGGAAAACAACUUUUCUGCUUGUAUAUGGAAGUGAUAUUUCAAGACAAGUUAUUUACUGUCCAAUUACAACACAGUUGUAAUGUUCACAGUGCUAUAGACAAAAUUAUAGGAAUGAGAAUUUAAAACGAGGUGGGGUAGGGAGACCUGUGGCCGUCCCAAUGUUGCUGUUCCUAUCAUUCCUGACCACUGGCCAUUCUGGCUGGGGAAAAAUGGGAUAAUAUAAUUUUGGUUACUGAGGACAAACAAGAUUGUGUGCAGGCCUGGCCAGGACAUAGGCAUCCUGACUGUGACAAAGGUGACCUGUGUGCUUGCUUGCUUGCUUGCUUGAUUAACAGCUGUUGGGAACUUCAAGGUCCCUGCUCUCCCUUCUUAGAAGGGCAAUGGCACGAGAGGUCCUUUGUAGAUCGUCAAAUGCUAACAUAGAUAUGAAUACAAAUUUCUCUUUGAAUCUGGAGGACAAAAUUGCCACCAGUUGUACCGCGCUCUCAGGAAUGAGCUAGUUCUUUGGAGACAGUUCUUCUAAUCCCAUUAAGACGCCAACAGGCCAGAAGAGAAGAAGAAAAUGGGCUCCCUGAAAAUUAAUGUUAACUUCUAACACCAGAGAGAGGAGCCACAGGGAACCAAUACAACAACGAACCUAAUUUCCCUCCUGUCUCCAUUCGCAGUAUUGCACAGAAGAGGAAAAGGGCUGCCGGGCAUUAUCAGGGGCCUCAUGUUGGCUGUAAUUCAGGGCUCCCAGUAGCCGGUCUUUGCCUGCACGGCAAGAUAAUUAUUGAAAUACUUCUGGUAGCAAACGUGAUGCAUUGAAGAACCUGGCAAGUUCACUACCCACUGGAGAGGUUUCAUGAUGUUAGGAGGUAGAGAGCAAAUAAAAAAUGAAGCCCUACUUCCAUGCUGGGAAGAGUGGAAAAGUAUCAGUGUGGUGUGAUUGAAGAGGGGGCUGGAUUCCAAGAGGGAUUUGAUGCUUUCCAUGGACUAAAUGGUGGGGAAAGAACUCUAAGCACCGGAGGAAAACCCUUCAUGCUGUCUGAAAGUGGCUCUGCAUGAUUGGCAACAAACUAUGGAUUUAGACCCCAAUGGAAAGAUGUUUCUAAAUAUCUUCUCUUUUUUUAAAAAUAUAUAUUUUAUUUUCAAAUUUUAUAAUCACAAUAAUUCAAUACUUUUCCAAAAAACACAAUAUAGACUCUCCCCCCCCCCCAGGCCUUCCCUGGACUCCAAUUUUCUCUCCCAUAAUUUCUUGCAUCUCAUUUUAUUUCUCCAAACUCUUUGUUUUCCCUCUUACUUAUCUUAAUUUCCAGUUGUAUAAUUACAUAAAUGUUAUAUCAAACCUGCUAACGUUUUAAUAUACCAUAUUUUUCGCUCUAUAGGAUGCACUGGACAAUAGGACGCACAUUGUUUUAGAGGGGGGAGAACAAGAAAAAAAAAAUCUCCCCCUCUCUGCCCAGAGCCCCUUCAGCGAAGCGGCAGGAGGCGCUGCGCAGAGAAGGGGAGACUUUUCCCCCUCUUGUUUUCCCCCUCUAAAACAGGGUGCCGUUUAAGGUGCGUUCAGUUGCCUUCAGGCGGCUACCUUGGAAGCCUGGACAGCGAGACGGGUCGGUGCGCACCGACCCCUCUUGCUCUCCAGGCUUCAGGUUCCUUUCGACCUGCUCUUUGGGGCUGGCGGGGGGAAGCCCACCACCAGCCCCAAAGAGCAGGUCGGGGAGCAGCGGAGAGGCUCCUGCCAUAGCCGCGCGUCACCUCUCCAGCUGGGAGAGGGUCGCGGGGCUAUGGCUUCUUCGCUCCAUAGGAUGCACACACAUUUCCCCUUCAUUUUUGAAGGGGAAAAAGUGCGUCCUAUAGAGUGAAAAAUAUGGUAUUUACAGUGGUCUUUUAAAUAGUCUAUAAAUUUCUUCCAUUCCUGCUCAAACUUUUUUUCAUCUUGAUCUCUGAUCUUCACGGUCAUCUUUGCCAUUUUGGCAUAAUCCAUCAUCUUAGUUAACCAUUCUUCUUUUGUUGGUACCUUCUCCUCUUUCCAUUUCUGGGCAAGCAGCAUUCUUGUGGCUGUUGUUGCAUACAUAAAUAGUCCUUUUAAGUCCCUUGGAAUUCCAUCCCCUGUUAAUCCAAGUAAAAAAGCUUCUGGUUUUUUGAUGAAAGUUAUCUUAAACAUCUUUUUCAAUUCAUUAUAUAUCAUUUCCCAGAAGUCUUUUACUUUUCUACAGGACCACCACAUAUGAUAAAAUGUACCUUCCUUUUCCAUACAUUUUCAACAUACAUUUGAUCCACUUUUAUACAUUUUUGCUAAUUUUGUCGGACUCAAAUACCUAAUUUUAUUUCUAAAAUCUUCUCAUUUGAAUUUCUUCUGGGGCAUUGAAGAAUUACCUGGUCUCCCCUCCCCACAACUUCUCAUGGUAAUCUUUUUUAUUCAGCAUUUUCUUUUUCUUUUUUUAAAAAAUCAUUUUUAUUUGAUUUUACAAGUAUAAAUUUAUUACAAUACCAAAUACGUAUCCAUAUAAAGAGAUUUCUCUGAAUCUUGAGCCUUCCCUCCAUCCUUUCCAUGGGUCCUAUUGUCAACAUUUCCAAAUGCAUAUUAUUUCAUAAUCUGUAUUUUAUUUCUAUCUAAAUUAUCCAUAGUGUUUCUUACAUUACAAGUGAGGUUAAAAUCCUGCUAAUGUUUUCAUCUGCUUACAGCGGUCUCCUAAAUAAAUUAUAAAUUUCCCCCAUUCUUUCUUGGAGUUUUUGUCUUCUUGGUUUCAACAUUUUCAAACAAAACCACCUAGUGGUAGACUGAUUGGGGCCACAGAGGGAAUUAGAGACUCAGCACACAGCCCUGCCAGAAACAUUUGGUGAGAGAGCCACAGAGGGAGUAACAUCCAGCUGCUGGGCUGAAAUGGCUAGUUCAUUCCAGAGAUUGACUCCUUUAGGCCUCCAUACUCAGUCCAAUGGAAGAGGUGACUGAAACUGUUCUAGCAGUGAGGUGGUCUGGAGGACCAUAAGGAACAGGAAAAGCUAUUUCAGCACCAUUUUUCCUCUCCACUGUUGAAGGCAGCAUCCCCUUGAACACAUCUCCCCUUGUCGCACUGCUUCCCCCCAGGGAAAACCACUAUUUAGCGCUCAAUGGGAGCAAAGAGAAAUUUGAAUUUUCUCUGGAUUGAUGUUUGUUCCAAUUUAGCACUAAAGAGUGGGUUUUCUCUGGGAAAGGAGUGGGGCAAGGGGAAAACCACUCGGACUGACACCUGGAAAGUGGGGAUCAAGCAGUAGACACACAGAAGUGUGAACUAACUCAGAGUGCUGGGCUUAGAUGGGCCUUCCUGACCUGAUUCACCAGACAGGUUCCUCUUAUUUCUUCUGGCAUCUCCCCUGCUGCCCAAAUGGAGCUGAUAAGCUCCUCUUUUUGCAUUUGUUAUUCUGCCAAGUGUCACGCGUGUGGAUGGCAUGGUAUCAAUAAGUAAUGGCCAACCCCUGUAGAAAGGGACGACAAUGCAAAGAGCUGGAGAGCCAAGUCUUUUGUUGCUAAACUUAGCUUGACAGUGAAACUAUAACAAUGGGGCAUUCUGGGUGUUAAUGCACCAGCUUCCCCCCCAGUUGAGGCCUUAAAAUCAUCAGCUAUAAUUCACUAUAAAUCCCCUCUCUUCCUCUCUCCACUAUUUUUUUUUUUUUUUUUUGCCAUCCAAUUCAAUUACACAGUGUCUGGGACAGGAAAAAAAAUGUGUUCACAUUGCCGCAGUUCAAGCCAGAUCAUAAAUGUAGGAGACAAUUACGCAGACGCAGUGGCGACAGAGUAGAGUACUAUAUUAUGCUGACCGGCUCUGCCUGUCUCCAUCCCCCUUUCCACACAGAUCCAAAGAGCCACUGGCAAAGCAAUUUAGCCUGUUGGAAAAGGGACAGUGUUUAGACACUGGGAAAUAAUUGAGAGUUUGCGUGCAACGGAAAGGAAGUGGCAGCAUCCAAAAAGCAGGAUCAGUUCCAAGCUACCCAAGGCAGUUAAUUAGCCAAAAACAGUGUUGGGAGGAAAGGUUUAUCAAGGUCUGAAAAUAUCGAGCCUCUUUUACACACCUCCUGGAGCCAGGAAACCAUUUUCCAUUGGCUGUCAGGUGGAAAUGAAUUGAGCCCGUAUACUAACGGGGGACUCUCUUGCGCAAAUGACACGGCAGUGGGGAUAAUUUCAUAUGGUAUGAAAAAUCACGAAGUGUCGCAUAUGGUAUGCAUUAGGGCUGCGGCAAAUGAGAUGCCGGACUAGGGGAAAGACUGCUGUUCAGUGGAGAGGAAUGUGCGUGCAUGCAGAAGGUUGCAGAUUCAAUUCCUGGAAGCAUCUCUUGGUAGGGCUGGGAGAGACCCCAAUCUCCAAGCCCCAGAGAACCACCACCACUCAAUGCAGAAGCAAUGCUAAGCUUUAUGGACCAGUAGUGUGGCUCAUCCACACUUACUCUUUUCCUUGUUUUUUCCAGGCAUAGGUUCACACUGUAAUGCUACAUGUCUGAGCUCCUUCGUACCUUCCUUCCUUUCUUUUUCUUUCCUCCAAGCUUUUCCUGUGAAAUCCAGCUCUUUAAAGCUGGAUCAGAUAAAACAUCAAGUUUUCCAUGGACUGACGUUUGCUCUGGUUGAGCUUUAAAGAGUGAGUUUUCCUGGGGAAAGCUCCAGAGCAAAAAAGGGGGGGCACUCGGACACAAAGCUAUAUAUAAAUUGCAGACCAUGCCUGGAAAGAGCAGAGGAAAGGUAUGCGUGACUAAGCUCUCAGAGUAAGACAUAUUCCUCUGAUUAGAUGGACCCUCUGUUCUUAGGCCAGAGAAUGCGUCUUCCAGGAAAGAACAAGCCCCAGCACCCAACCUCUCUCUCGCUUUAGGAAUAAGUCCCUGCGGAGUCAACCCUAUUCCACACAGGAAACAGAAAUCUGGAAGCUUGCCAGCAUCCAGCAAAGUGUCCCAAACAUUUGCUAGAUAAAGUCCCCUUUCUCAGAAUUAUAAAUGCUUGGGGACGUAGGGAUGGUGCUUGCAAUUUCAUAGUGCAAGAUUCUCUUAAUAGGGCAAUUUCCCUUCUGUGGCAGCCAGCAUAAAUACUACUGAAAAUUAUUCAUCAGCCAUAGGGCUCAUAAUAUGGAACUCGGCAACUUGAAAUGCUCAUUUCAAGCAUGACCUGCGUAUUCCUCCAAUUUUAUUCUGAACUCCGUAAGAACUCGCCCCACUCUAUGCAAUGCUCAGAUGCCCCAUCUCCGAUAGCCAUCUCAGAUAGGCCCUCUGACCAGCAGGGUCAGAAAUGAAGGUACAAGGAAAUGUUCAGGAGACAGAAGGAGAGCUAUCCAACCAGGUAAUGGAAUUAGGAGCCUCAAGCCAGGGAACUGGUUCAAAUGCUUCCUUAGCCACUAUGGGUUCCUUAUGCUAUGAGUUGUCUGCUGGUGCCAGUGAUGGACAGGAGGGAGUGGCUCUAUCUCUCUUUCCCCAUGCACCUGCUGUAGAACUGGCAUUCUUGGAGGAUCAUGAGAGGUGGGGGAAGAAGGUUCACAGGUCAUGGAGGACUUGAGGCUCAUAGAGAGGUGGGGGUUGGAACUCAUCAGGUCCAUAAGUGGCUUCUAUUUGAUCUGAAUUGACUUGAGCAAUCCAAGUUUUGUUGCUGAUUAGAAAUAGCUUGAAUUAUCCUAAUACAAUUCAGGGAAAUGAGCUUAGAUAUUCAUUAAAAUAUGUACGCACAACCUGCUGUUCAUCUGCAUGGGAGCCAGGGCAGGGUACAGCAACCCAUCAUGACUGAAUACUCUGUCAGUUUGCAUUUCUCAGUGCAGAAAGUCUUGAUGUGAUGUGUAGAGAUCUUUCCUAUUCUACUUAAUUCAAGAGGAUUCUGGAAGCUUCUCUGUGUGAAAGAAACUUCAUGAUGUUUGGGUUAUUCCUUCAGAGAAGCUGAGUACAACUGGUUUAAACUGGUUCUGUUAUCUUUUUCUGUCAAGGUCAGGCUGAUAGCAGGGACAGAAGGAGCCCGGGUUUCACACUUUCUCUUUGUAUCUCUUUUCCUUCUGGUGUGGUGUUCUGUACAUAGAUAGUGUUAAGGUUUAGUCUUUUUAUAAGUUGCUGUAAGUCUGAGUUAAGUCUGCUGCAACGGGAUUUCUUAUGGACAUGGCCAAUCUUGAAUGUAUUGGAUUUGUGACCAUUAUGCUCAUUUGCCUUCAGUAGUGGUAAAACUCUGCUAGAUGAAGUACAAUUGCCUCUGGUCUAUUUUUUUUUGGGAGGGGGGAAUCCUGCAACGUGCUUAAGUUUUUAUCCUGCCUAUUAUACACUGGAAUCCACUCUGGAUCAAUACUGAGUAGAACUUUCACUGACAUACUCUUGGUGAGGAAGAGGAAUUCAGAGGCCUGUUAAGAACAUGAGAAGAGCCUGUUGACUGGAUCAGGCCAAUGGCCAGGAUCCUCUUCUCACCGUGACUGGCCAGAUGCAUCUUCUGGGAAACCUGCAGGCAGGAUUCGAGCACACGAACACUUUCUCCUCCUCUAUUCUCCAGCAACUGGUACUAACUGUUCCUUUAUGCAACAGCUUCAGAUCUGGUUCGCUGCAGAGAAGCAGGCAUAUUCUGAGAAACAACCCUGACCAAAUUUGUCUGAGUUUACCAGACACUCCUCCAGGGGGCUCAGCCAAGGGCCAGAGUUGAGCUCUUACCCUUUAGCUAUUGCUCCAGCACCUUUACCUCUUGUAUUUAAUCUCGGAGCCCUUGAGAUUCAGCCCUUGGAGCCCUUGCCUUCAGCCUGCGUGAAGACAGAUAUUGGCAGUAUAAUUGGGAGCCUGCCCUGCUAAUCACUUUAUUUUGCUUGCUUUGUAAAUCAAGGAAGCGGGGGCAAUUGGCAAGCCCCCAGCUGGUCCAUCCCACCAGCCGGUGUACCGGACAAACUCCAGUCCUUGGUGCUGCAUGAAUCAGCGACCCGAACUUCAAAAGCUAGGGCACGCUCUAAUCAGCAAAGAUAACACAACGCAACAGAAGUGCCGGGAGAGUAUGCGUGAGCAUAUGUACAAGCAGUUUAUUCAGCAUACAUCAGGGCGAAAGGAAAACAUGUCUGAUCCCUUUUGUGUCCAAAGCAAGCAGCAUAAGCAAAAGCUGUACACAAACGGAAGUUCCCAGCAAGCUGUGCUGGAGUGUAAACAGGCAUGUGACAUACAACAAUUUCACACGUCUGUUCUUAAGGUGGAACGGAAUAUCCCAACAGGCAAGCCCACCCCACAUGACAUCACAUCCUUUGUUUGUGCCUGGCGCAUGUGUGCACGCACCAGGCAGUACCAGGGGCUGGGUGCAGAGGGUGAACGAAACCCACCAUGCCAGUCUAACUGUUGUCACUGCUGCCGCCAGGCAGGCGCAGGGCAUGGAGAGUUCAUGAGGCUGCACUGUAAUGCCUGCCCACAUGGGGGGGAGCCUGUCCAGCCAACAUAGCCCUUGGCAGAUGCAUCCCCCCAGCGCUGACCAGGCGGCCAUUCAGUGAGGGGGCCGUGGGUGAGGUGGCAAGGCCAGGCCGGGCUCCCGGGCCUAGGUGGCAGGCAGGGUGGGAAUCCCUGUGUGGGGACACCUGGAUUGCACCCCCUCAAAAUCAUGCACCCGGGGCUAUGGGCCCCCUGGCCCUCCCUGCACUACACCCCUGUCCCACUCUGAUCCUUAGCCCUAGAAAACUCAACACCUUGUCAUGGGUUUUCAUGAUAUUUGAAUGAAAAAAAAUAUGAAAAAAGUUAAAUACAACAAUUUCAAACUGCUUUUUCUUAAUGUUGAUUUCAUUGCUUUAUUCUUUUUCUAAACCACUUGGAAGUUUUGUUUUUGCACUCAACUGGACUUCCAAUCCAGAUCAAUGGUUGCAUGCAUCUCAUCAAGAUGUCAGCAGAUUAAGGAAGUGUGUAUUGUAAACGGGGGGGGGGGGGGGAUACAGGAGGGAGAGAGGAUACAUAAGAACCCCGCUAAUCUCUUCUGAAAUUUCUUCCAAGUGGAAAGGCCACUGCUUGGUAUGCUCCCUUAUUGGAAUUCCUUAAUUUAUGGGGACUUACCAACCUUGAAAUGUCAGCUUUGUGAAAUCAUUUCCAAUAAACCAAAUGUUAAUAUUCUCCAGGAAAGGAACAACAACAUCAAUUUCUCUAAUAUUACUCUGAGGCCAGCUUUUUAUUUGUUUUUAAUGGCGUCUCCUUUCAAAUAAUCCACAGAGCGAUUCAUUUUGUGUGGAGCGAAGGGAUUUGCUUUACAAAUCUGAAGUUAUCCAAUGGGCCCCCAUGUCCCAAGAUAUCUGAGAUACUGUAGUAGACUAGUUGGAGUGGAGGGGCAACCCAACUGUGUAAAAUAUAUUGCGAGAUUGUCAAAUUCCUUGCAAUAUUGUCUUACUCCAUGUAUGCCCACCCUACUGCUUUGGUCUGUGAGGUGGCGCUGUUAUAGGUGCCCCAUAAUACUCAUUCCUCAUUUGUAUGAAAUCAGUCUUUGAGUGUGGCAGCACCCAAACUUUGGAAUGCUCUGCCCAUUGACAUCAGAUGGGCACCUCUUUUCAGUGUCUACUAAAAGUAUAUUUGUUUAGGCAUGCCUGUCCAGAUAUGUAGUAUGUUGACAUGUGUUUUAAUCCAGUUUUUCGUUUGCCAUUGGUUUUAAUGAUAUUUCAUUGGGGGGGAAAUUACAAAGUUAAAUACAACAAUUUCAAACUGCUUUUUUUACAGUUGAUUUCAUUGCUUUAUUGUUUUUGUAAACCACUUUCAAGCUUUGCUUUUACACUAAAAAAAUUAUGGAAUGAAUGAAUGAAUGAAUGAAUGCACAACUUUGUACUCCAGCAAAGGAGACUGGCCACCGUGGGGGCAGAGGGCCUUCUCGGUAGUGGCGCCUGCCCUGUGGAACUCCCUCCUAUCAGAUGUCAAGAAAAUAAACAACUGACUUUUAGAGGACAUCUGAAGGCAGCCCUGUUUAGGGAAGUUUUUAAUCAUUGGUGUUUUAUUGCAUUAUCAUUAUAUAUUAUCAUUAUCAUUAUCAUUAUCAUUCUGUUGGGAGCCACCCAGAGUGGCUGGAGAAACCCAGCCAGAUGGGUGGGGUAUAAAUAAUUUACCAUCAUCAUCAUCAUCAUUAUUAUUAUUAACAGCCAAGGAGAUGUUGAUGCUGCCACCACCAUCACUCAUGUCUUCUGUUGCCUGAGGCAGUUGCCUCACUUUGCCAAAUGUUUGGGCCGGCCCUCUUCAAUUAUUUUUGAAGGCUGACAAACAGAAAGAACAAAAGAGAGGGAAUUGAGGUUAGGAGACAUCUAUGGGGGAGAUGUCUUAAUUAUCUGGAUAAGAAGUUCCUUAGAGAGCACCGAUGAACAUGAACAGUUCUCUGCCCUGGUUUUUGAUCAAAUGGAAUCAGGGUACAUAAGCGCUGAUGGCAUUUGGCAAGAGCUUGAUUGAAUGUCUUCUUUAUGGCACAUGCUUCCUGCACUCAGUGUGGCUAAUGAAUGGUAAUUGCACAAGGGACAGCUUCCUUGUCAUCAGAACCACCCAACUAAUGAGGUCUUGUAAAGCGAUCAGCUUGCAUCCUCAGCCUACCCCUCUAUGAGUUGGGGUGGGAAUGUGUGUGAAAAUCUACCUGUUAUUGUAUUUAAACAAACAUUCUCCCUGUUGGCUUGCUAAUUGGCUGUCAGAAAAAGCAAACUGGCUUGGGAGAGUGUCAGUUCAUAGGCUGCAAAAAUCCGCUGGCAGGUAACCUCUGUCUUGAGCCUGGGGGAACAGAGAACAUUGGAUUCAGCUGGAGCCACGGUCUCCUAAUUUCAGAGCGAAGACUUUGGGAAGAUUUUCACCAUUGGUACCUGGUGUCUGGAUCCUGAAUGCCUUCUAAGACACUUCUGCCUGGGCCAUGUACCAUUUAUUUAACUCCAACAGUGUGCUGUUGCUGGAAAUAACCAAAGAUAAAACAUCUCUGGGACUGCAAAGCAACAAUUACUGGGAAGAAUGUUCCUCUCUGGGUUCUUCUGGGUUCCUAAGAGAUUUCUGGGGACAACCACCCUCCAUUUCUCAUCUCAGUUCUUUAUUUGACAUAACUUGGGGGAGGGGUUCAGCAGGAGCUGAAACAUCAAUGAAUCAUCUCAGCAGCACAACGUGACCCCAUGCAAUUAUGGAGUCACACUUCAACAUAUAUAAUUAGAGUUAAUUAUGUUGUUGCACAAUGGGUUGCCUCUCGCCCCUUAUGCCCUGGACUUGAUGCCAGCAAACAGAGAUGGGCUUCCUGAAUGUGUGGAGGAACCACACAACUGUUUGAAAUCGUUUGUUAUAAGAAUUUUAAGGUCUCAAACAUAGAAUAAAUAUUCAUAAAUGCACACAUAUCUAAAUAUAUGAACCAUGUGUCUGAAAUAAUACAGGAGAGCAAUCCUGAAGUCAUUUUGACCCUCCCAAUGACCUCAAAUAUUCCUUUGCAGUCAAGGAGGCAAAUGGGGAAAGUCUUCCCAUGGUCUUUUUGCUUGCAAAUCCUGUCUCCAGGGCGUAUUUGUGUAUAAAUAGGGUGAGUCUGUGACCUGGAUCCAGGAACUAAAUUAUUAACCAUCACAAAAGAAUGGCCAGACUGCCCAGGUAAUGCAAUCAGUGACCAUUAUCAGGUAUCCUGGCAGGCAGGAUAUCUGCUGUAGACUGCCUCCUUCUGUGAUGUAUGUAUGAUGUUUGGGGGGUGGUGGUCAUGGGCAGGGGCAGAGGUAGCUGCUCCAGCACCUGGAACAGCCACAUGCUGUGCACCCGGGGGUGGGGCUCAGGGAUGACACCUGGGGCGGGCCACACCCACCGCCCCCCCUUCCUCCUCCAGUGGCCACGGACUACAGGGUGGACAAUUUCAAAAUAAUAAUAAUAAUAAUAAUAAUAAUAAUAAUAAUUUAUUUAUACCCCGCCCAUCUGGCUGAGUUUCCCCAGCCACUCUGGGCAGCUCCCAAUCAAGUGUUAAAAACAGUACAGCGUUAAAUAUUAAAAACUUCCCUGAACAGGGCUGCCUUCAGAUGUCUUUUAGAAAGAAGAUAGCUGCUUAUUUCCUUCACAUCUGAAGGGAGGGCGUUCCACAGGGCGGGCGCCACUACCAAGAAGGCCCUCUGUCUGGUUCCCUGUAACCUCACUUCUCACAAUGAGGGAACCACCAGAAGGCCCUCGGCACUGGAUCUCAGUGUCCGGGCUGAACGAUGGGGGUGGAGACGCUCCUUCAGGUAUACAGGACCGAGGCUAUAUAAGGGCUUGCACACCAUUGUCCAGAAUUCUCUUCCCUCCUAGGUGUGGUGAGUGGGGACCCUGUUGCAACAGUUCUUUGAAUAAAGAUCAGGCUUACUAGCUGCUUUGCUUCUCAAUAUACUCUGGUUGGCCUCUGUUGUUUUCUCCUGCUGAUAGGGAACCCACUUUAGGACUCUAUACGGGCUCUGGAAUACCGUAUAACGGAAAGGGGGCAGAUUUUCUUACAACACUUUCAUGGAUUCUGUGUUUGACUCUGGUUUCAGAUUUGCUCUGUAUUUGCUAACAGUUCAUGUCUGUUUUUAGAAUUAAAACUUUUUUAUCUUGCCAUUCCUCCAAGGAGUUCAAGCUGAUAUACUGUACUUAACCUCCUAUUUUAUCUUCAACAACCACAAGCCUGCGAGGUUGUUUAGGCUGUGAGAUAGUGAUCGAUUCAUGGUGGUCAUGCAGCAAAAUUUGUGACUGAAUGGGGAUUUAAAUUCUAGUCUCCUUGAGCCUAGCCCAACACUCUAGUCACUACACCACAUUGGAUCUCUAUUAAUGGUGACUCUCAUUCUGAGUUGUCAUUUAUGGUGAUAACAAAACAGAAGACAUAAGAUAUUGUUGCAUGCAGCCCCAAUCUCUGAGUAGUGAGAGACUUCAGUGGUUGUGCGCUUACCAGGGUUCAAUUUCCUUGGAAUGAAGGUCAGAGGAGGCUGCGGUGUUUUGAAGAUAUAUGGUUUUAUUCACACAUCUAUACAACAUGAACACAGGAUGGAGGGACUCACGACAAUAAUGCCCCAUCAGAUCUUGCUUUUCCAUCAGUCACAGCUUGGGAUCCAGCACUGAGCAAGGCAUAUCUCUGUCACCAGCUUUUGAAGCCUGCUGACAGCUCACUUACACAAGCAACUCCCUAGCCCAGCCCAGCCCUCUCUCCCCCCACCCUCGGUCCUUUUUCACUUAGAUGAAGCUAAUUGCAACCUGGCACUUGCCUUUGAAGUGUUCAUCAGAGCACUAAAAUGGCCACCUGGCCUUGCCUUCAAAGAAAUUUGUCUGAGCCAUUUCCUCAACUUCCCUUAAAUUCAUAACAAUGCUAUUCAGGACACCAAGUACACUAAAUACUGAAACUGUUGAAACAGAGGUUACUCCUUGCAGGGGAACUCUGGAGGGAGAGAGGGUUAAGGAUCUGUGAAAAUAAAAGAAUUAUCUGCAUCCUCAGUAAACUACAAAUUCCAAAGUUCUUUCAAAGAAGCAUAGCCGGUCCUACUGUCCGCAAAGUAAGGAAAGCUGACUGAGCCUCAUGAAAGGGAAUUAAAUGGUUGGUGGUCUAUUAUUCUUUUUGUACUGCCAGGGUGAGUAAUAAGGUCUUGUGGGAUUUUCUGCCUCACCUCCCAAAAUACUGUAUCUUGACCAGAUUUGGGCAUUCUGCACUUUGACUUCAAGAGAGCUGCUCCUGUUCGGGCAGCAAAAUGUCUUAGGCUCACCCCGGAGAGAAGUCACAGAAGUCUUGAAACAAUUCUUCUUCUUGUAUCUGCAGUUUAGUCAUUGAGCCAAGUUAUUCUGGACAUUAUCCUUGAGUAAAGCACAUGAAGUCAAGUCUAUUGGAGGUGAAGCCUAUUAUUGCCUGUAGCAGCCUUUGCCAACAUGGUGUCCUCAGAUGUUUGGACUACACCCCCAUCAAUCUCAGCCAGCAGGGCCAUGCUCCCAUCAGCACUGGAAUCAUACAGCUGGGGUUGGUGGGAAUUGUAGGCCAAAAUAUCUGGAGGGCACCAGAUUGAUAAAGGAAGCUCUGAAGCUUUCUGCAUUUCCUGGAGGAAAACCAGCAGAAAUAUGCCCAUGAACUAAAUGGUAGGUGACACUGGCAGAAGCAUCUUAGAGGUGGGUUCAUGUCCACCAGAAGAAUUGGCAGCCAAAAUGGAACUCGCUAGAAGGAUAUGCAAAUCCCUGGCUUACUGUGAGAGAGGCCACAGAGGACUGUAAUGCAAUGUAUUGGCAAUGUAUGUUUGCCAUCUGGCUCCAUAAAUCCAGGAAGGUGAAGGCCACCAACCAACUUAGUUACCCUCAAUUUGGUACCCUCAAUAUGUUUGGAACUCCAACUCCCAUCCGCCUAUAACAGCUGUGAUAUUUAGUCCAAAACACCUGCGGUGUCAUGACCCCUGAAUCUAGGAGUGAUCUGGACACAGAGUUGGAGGCUGCAGGGGCACCAGAUGGGCAGCCUGGUCUUAGUCAUGGCUCAGAAGUGAGUGUGGAAGAUAGGGAGACCACUGCACCUGGGGUGGUUGGACAAGACCUCCUGGAGAAACCCACCAGACUGCCAGGGCCUGGAUCUUCACAGACACUUUUCCCUGAGCCUGAAGAACCAGAUGCCUCCCAAUGCACAUCUCAAGUUGGGUGCACAGGAAGCAGACCAGAAGGGAGGCUAUGGAACAGAGGAAGAGUGCCCAUCUUUGAUCCAGAGGGUUGGCCCUUUAUAACUCGAAGUUCUUUCAAGGGAGUGGGGCCUGCAAGAGGCAGUCUGGAGAUGGGAGCAUAAAAAGCUUCAGUCUGCUCCAAGCAUUUGUUAGAGCAAGCUGUUUGCUUGGAGCUAUCUGUGGUCCAUAAGUUUUGCCUCCAGCUUUCCUGUUUUCCCCAUGGGUUCCAACACUGGCCCAGAACAUGACAUAGAGGACAUCUGGUUGAGGAAGACUGAUUUAGAUGGUUGGCUCUCUGAAAAUAACGUGGGAAGUAUACUAUUGCCUUCCUGUCUCUCUCUGUCUCUCUCUCUCUCUCUCUGUGUGUGUGUGUGUGUGUGAGAGAGAGAGAGAGAGAGAGAGAGUGCAUACCCACAAACAGGACUCUGGGAAAGAGAAUGCUGGACGAAACAAGUCUUUGGUCUGAUCUACCAGAGCUUUUCAUGUCUUAAAGGAAAUACUGGUGCCCAACUAGUCAAUUGAAUGUGGUUGUCUAAAGCCCUAGGCUAGUGAGUCAUCGACUUUCCAAAAAUAGCUGGCUGCCACUCCUGUGAUUUAAGCCAUUGAUUUAUUAAUAUGGCAACACACACACACACACACACACACACACACACGACAGAGAGAGAUCAGCAGACUCAGAAAUGCCCUGUGUCUGCCAACAUUUGCAGAUGCACAACAAACCUUUAGGAGGACAAACACCCAAACUAGCCAGUGAGGACUCAGCAGAGGGGACAGAAUGCUGGCUGACUGGCAGGAGGCAGCAAAACAGCAGGGAGGAGGAAUGGAGAAUUUUGGAGAAGAGAAUGGCUGGUAGGCCAGGACCCUGGACAAGAGCACUCCAUGUUGCCAGAUUUUGUUGAAGUUCUCAUUCAUAAUAUGAAUCGUUUUGAGAACCAUUGCUUGAAAGGUAGCCUGCAUUGUACGUAAACAUACAUAAAAACUGUAUGAUCCACACAUCACCUGAAAUGAGCAAUAGGGACUGGCCCCAGAAUGAGCUUCGUGGCUGAGUGAAAAUUUGAACACAGGGUUCUUCUGUCCCUUGAAGCCAUGGUUGUUCUCAUUGGAGCUGGGGGAAUUGACAUCCACCCCAACAAAAUCCAAUCCUCAAGCCUUGUAGAGCCACCCUGAGGUAUGCCUUUGACCUUUAAAAGCUUUCCAUUUAACAGCUGUGGGAAGAUUUUUUAAUUAAUUUAUUUUUUUUAAUCAGGAGCUGCAGAACAUCGCAACAGCAAGCAAGCAAGCAAGCAGUGUGUGUGUGUGUGUGUGUGAGCAAAAGGCUCCCCCCUGAACUUUACCUUGGCUCCCUCUGGGGAGACAAAUACAUACAUUGGAGAGACUUGGUUUGCCUUUGUAACUAAAAGCCUUUCCAGGAGUAAACACCACCACUCUUGUCUCCUGCUCCUCGUUGCCGAGAAACAAAUGCAGAAAGCAGAAGAGAAUGUGAACCGAAGUGCUCCACUUUCCAUAUUUCCUCAAGCAGUGAAAGGUUCUAGGAGCAGUAGUAGCCAGGUUAGGCUUCAUUUGAUGAAGAGAGUGCCAGGGACUGGUCCAUUAGGGCAAGUGAGGCACUGCCCCACCAUCCUCAGUCUGCUAUCAGCCAACCUUCGAUUAAUAAUAAUAAUAAUAUAUUAUUUAUAGCCCACCCAUCUGGCUGGGUUUCCCCAGCCACUCUGGGAGGCUUCCAACAAAACACUAAAAUACAAUAACCUAUUAAACAUUAAAAGCUUCUCUAAACAGGGCUGCCUUCAGAUGUCUUCUAAGAGUUUGGUAGUUAUUUUUCUCUUUGACAUCUGGUGGGAGGGCGUUCCACAGGGUGGGUGCCACUACCAAGAAGGCCCUCUGCCUGGUUCCCUGUAACUUGGCUUCUCACAGCGAGGGAACCACCAGAAGGCCCUCAGCGCUGGACCUCAGUGUCCGGGCAGAACGAUGGAGGUGGAGACGCUCCUUCAGGUAUACUGGACCGAGGCCGUUUAGGGCUUUAAAGGUCAGCACCAACACUUUGAAUUGUGCUCCGAAACGUCCUGGGAGCCAGUGUAAGUCUUUCAAGACCAGUGUUAUAUGGUCUCGGCGGCCACUCCUAGUCACCAGUCUAGCUGCUGCAUUCUGGAUUAGUUGUAGUUUCCAGGUCACCUUCAAAGGUAGCCCCACAUAGAGCGCAUUGCAGUAGUCCAAGGGAGAGAUAACUAGAGCAUGCACCACUCUGGCGAGACAGUCUGUGGACAGGUAGGGUCUCAGCCUGCGUACCAGAUGGAGCUGAUAAAUAGCUACCCUCAACACAGAAUUGACCUGCACCUCCAUGGACAGCUGUGAGUCCAGAAUGACUCCUAGGCUGUGCACCUGGUCCUUCAGGGGCACAGUUACCCCAUUCAGGACCAGGGAGUCCUCCAUACCCACCCGCCUCCUGUCCCCCAGAAACAGUACUUCUGUCUUGUCAGGAUUCAGCCCCAAUCUGUUAGCUGCCAUCCAUCCUCCAACCACCUCCAAACACUCACACAGGACCUUCACUGCCUUCACUGGUUCUGAUUUGAAAGAGAGGUAGAGCUGGGUAUCAUCCGCAUACUGAUGAAUACCCAGCCCAAACCCCCUGAUGAUCUCUCCCAGCGGCUGCAUGUAGAUGUUGGAAACCAUGGGGGUGAGAACAGAACCCUGAGGCACCCCACAAGUGAGAGCCCAGGGGUCUGAACACUCAUUCCCCCCCCCCACUUUCUGAACACGGCCCAGGAGGAAGGAGCGGAACCACUGUAUGACAGUGCCCCCAGCUCCCAGCCCCUCUAGACGUCCAGAAGGAUAUUAUGGUCGAUGGUGUCAAAAGCCGCUGAGAGAUCCAGCAGAACUAGGAAACAGCUCUCACCUUUGUCCCUAGCCUGCCAGAGAUCAUUGACCAGUGCGACCAAGGCAGUUUCAGUCCCAUGUUGAGGCCUGAAUCCCGACUGUAUCAUCUGUUACUAGAGUCGGAAACAAAAUACGAGCUUGUCAAAGCCUCAAUGACAUACUGGGCAGUAGACAUAGGUCACAAUAUAGAUUUCAACAUCUGGGAAAAACUCUGGAAAAGUGAUUUGAAGUUCACAGCAUGUUAUUCUUUGAAGGAGAACUACUUGAAAAUGAUUUACAGAUGGUAUUAAACUCCUAGUAGGCAUGCUAAGAUGUAUGACUGAAUCAGAUAAAUGGUGGAGAUGAAAAGCGGGAGUGAAUAUUUUGUUACAUUUGGUUGGACUACUAAGAGUAUUGCUUUUUUAAAACAAAAACAACAACCUAGAAGGAGCCAUGUAGGAUUCAGUUGUACAGUGAUACGCAACCAAUAUAUGGCCAACACAUACUGUGACAAAUUUCAACCUGCACAUCAGCAGGUGGUCAGUGUAAAAGCAAUGAGAAUCCCCAGAUGUACAGCCAUGCAGGUCUGCAGUUAGUCUUGAAAAGAAGCUCAAAGAAAUGGUUCCUUCCCUCUAAGGAUGUGAACUGCAAACACUUUAACUCUAAAACAGCAAUUUACAGUGGUACCUUGGGUUACAAAUGCUUUGGGUUACAAAUGCUUCGGGUUACAGACUCCGCUAACCCGGAAGUAGUACCUUGGGUUAAGAACCUUACUUCAGGAUGAGAACAGAAAUUGCACGGCGGUGGCAGCGGGAGGCCCCACUAGCUAAAGUGGUACCUCAGGUUAAGAACAAUUUCAGGUUAAGAAUGGACCUGCGGAACGAAUUAAGUUCUUAACCAGAGGUACCACUGUAUUCCAAUUGUUCACAAUGGCAUUAGCAGGGAUAUACCUUCUCUCAUCGGCUUCCAGGUUGCUUUGUGAAGCUGGGCCCCAGUUCUCUCCCUGCCCCAUCCCAUUCAACCGAUCUUCAAAAAGCUUUUAUACUCUUAAAAAAAUAUGAAUACAUAUAGUUUAAUUAUACUUCUAAUUAAAAACAAAACAAAACCCUCCAGUGGGCCACUGGGUCAGCUUCUCCCCCAUUAAAAAUAGAUUUCAUGCAUGGAGCAUAUGGUGUGUGUACGAUUAGUCCCUCUGAAUCCUGACAUCCCCUCAAAAGGUUUUGUUGUUCCGUCAUGAAAUGUAAAAUGUGCAAAGGGGCGAUUGUGGGACCUGGAAGGGUAUGAUUUCAAAGCUGAGAACACAAAGCACUUCUCCAGGGCCUUUGUUUUAUGAAGACACAGCCCCAGUCAAAGCUUUGAUGCACACCUGGCCUCUUAGCUGUGCAGGCAAGCUAGGCAGCAAUGUGGCUCCUGUGAAAGAUGAGUCCUAUUGUUACACGCCUCCCUGAUCUCCACGUGUGGGGUGAGAGUCCAGGGGUUGCAGGUGCACUAGCUAGGGUUUGUUUCUUUUCCCUUUUGGACAAUGAGGUGCAGCAGAGACUGUGCUGUUUUUAAUGAUAUAUGUUUUAUUUACUCAUACGUAUAAACAACCCAAACCUAGAUGGCGUCCUGGAAAUUCUAUUCAAUAUUGAUCCAGAGUAAAUUCCAACAUAUACCAUAUUGGCCUGAAUAUAAGCCACCCGACCCCGACCCCCAAAAAACACCAGUGGAUAGACAUAGCAAACUGCUUGUAAUCAAUACAUUCAUUCAGACUGCUGUUUUCUUUAGAGACAGGGAACCUGUGGCCCUUCAGGUGUUCUUGAACUCCAGUUCCAUCAGCCCCUGCCAGCAUGACCAAUGCCAAUGACAAGGGAUAAUGGGAGCUGCAGAUUCCCCAGCCCAGGAUUAUGUGAGCUGCCAAGUGCUGUCUAGAACUCAGACAGAGACUUUUCCCACCAACCCUAUAUUUAAUAUAUCCAGAGAUGUCAGAGAGUGUGUUCUGUGUUCUUCCCUUGAGUUCCUCUCAACUGAACCCUGUUGGAUGGGUGCAUAAUUAAUUAACCAUGCCCACAUCUCUGGAGAUAUUUGUAUGUAUUUUUUAUUGCCCAACAGCUGUCAUAUGGACAUAUGAAGAGGCUUGAUAAUGGCGCAGACCAUCCCUGAGUCAACAGGAAUGAGACAAUAGUGGCUAAGUGCUCUGAGCUAUGUGCACAAGGUACCCACAGGGCAAGGCAACUGAUGGUAGCAUCAUUACAUGGAUCUCUCAAUGAGCAACUUGCACCAACAAAGGCCUGAGGUGAACUGAGCCUUUAUAAGUCUCCAGAUCUGAAGCACCACCCUAGUGGCUCUUAAAGGGCCAAACCCCUGGCCUUCAGAAGAGCACUUCUUCCCUUUCCCGUGGCCUCACAUUUGGCACAUUCACAUACCUGUCGGCAGGUGUUGCAGCACAGGAAGCCCUUAAUCCCCUGAUGAGUCAGACUCAGGGGGCAGUGUCCUUGCUCAGACUCUGUUGGUUCUGGACCAUCACCCUUAGGUUCUGCAGACUCUAAAGAACUGCAAGCCAUGGGGUUCAAUGGCCAAUGGCCCAUCUAGUCCAGCAACCAGAUGCCUCUGGGAAGCCUAGAAGCUUGGCAUGAAUGCAAUAGUUUGUAGUCCAUCAGAUCCAGAUUUGGCUAACCACCUCUUCCUCUGAACUGGAGGAGGAGUGGGGAAACAAGACUACAAAGGCAUGUGAAUGCUAGAAAAAUCACCUGAUUUGGGGAUGUCUGGUUUAGGACUAUGAAUCUAAAAUAGAUGGAUUUAGCCUUUCCCCUAAGAGCACAGAUGAGGUGUCAGACAUGAAAUAGGAGGUACGGUAUAUCACAGUUACCACUUUCCGUGGACUUGAAGCCGCACAAUAUUAUGUGGGGAAUGUAGACUUUUCCCCUUAUAACAUGCAGUUUCUAGGCCUUUGUUAUAUUAUAAAAGGUCAUUCCAUCUGGGUUGUUGUUGUUUUUUUAAUAAUGCUCCUUCAUGCUUUAAUGAGGUAAUUAGACACUGUAGUACAUUGUUUGUACAUAAUUUGCAAAGGGAAAGGCAAUUAAAUAUUUAGUGCUGUGUCCCAUGGUAACAUCUGGGAUUUCUAAGAUGAGUUUAAAGACAAAUUAAGAGCUGUUUAUGGUCUGCUGCAUGAACGGCAGAGGAAUUUGUUCACAAAGGCAUUGCUUGGAACUGCUGGGACUGGCAUUUAAAAGGUAAGUGUGGCCCAAUGUGAGUAUAUGUAAAAUUGUGCACCUCAUGGUGAAGUUCAUAACUUCAUACAUAUACACCGAUAAACUGGAGGCAACUGACCAGAUAAGGGAUCUUGAGCUGGGCCAUAGCUAGGGAGUGGUGAGGAAGGCCCCUGCCAGGGGCGCAGACAAGGGGUGUGCGCAAAAUCGGCUUUAAAAUAUGUCCAUAAAUAUGUCUAUAAAUAAAAAUAUUGAUUAUUGCCUCAUAAGAAAAGGUUUUAAAUACAAGGUGAAGUGCGUGAGGAAUUGAAUGGAGGGGGGUUGGAGGAGAGGCAAAAAGAAGAGCUAAUUUGUCCAUGACUAGGGGGCGCAAUCUGGACGGUUCUGCCAGGGGCGCAAGAUCUUCCAGCUACGGCUCUGAUCUUGAGGUCAUAAUUCACUAUAGAAUCUGCCACUACAAGAUGUGGCGAUGGGAAGAAGAAGAAGAAGAAGAAGAAGAAGAAGAAGAAGAAGAAGAAGAAGAGUUGUUGUUUGGAUUUGAUAUCCCACUUUAUCACUACCCGAAGGAGUCUCAAAGCGGCUAACAUUCUCCUUUCCCUUCCUCCCCCACAACAAACACUCUAUGAGGUGUGUGGGGCUGAGAGACUUCAGAGAAGUGUGACUAGCCCAAGGUCUCCCAGCAGCUGCAUGUGGAGGAGCGGAGAUGAGAACCCAGUUCCCCAGAUUAUGAGUCUAUAGCUCUUAACCACUACACCACACUGGCUCUCUGUGACUUAGAUGGUUUUAAAAGGGCCUUAGAGAUAUUCCUGAAGGAUAAUGCUAUGCAUGGCUACUAAUCAUGAUUACUAUGUUCUGCUUCCAGUAUCAGAGGCUGCAUACAAUUGAACAGCAGUUGUUGGGAAUCAGAAGUGAGGAGAGCACUGUUGCACUCAAGUCCUGCUUUGUAGGCUUCUCAAGAGGAUCUAGUUGGACACUG
Non-coding RNA from Podarcis lilfordi (Lilford's wall lizard), 28797 nucleotides. The record is from the annotation of a GenBank genome assembly. NCBI's taxonomy places the organism in Eukaryota, Metazoa, Chordata, Lepidosauria, Squamata, Lacertidae.